CCACUCUUCUGCCUCAGUGAGGCUUUUUUGUGAACAUGUUUGGAAUGGCUGUAAUGAGUCUUGCUGUGACAUUCUGACAAAGUUCUAACCUCACUUGGCCACUUGUUCUUUCUUGCUGAACUAAUGCAAUUUGUUACAAAUUAAAAGUCUCACCUAGAAAGAACUAAGGACCAUCAUUCUAGAUCAUUUCUCAUUUUGUCUAUCUUUAUAUCUGAAGUAUAGGAUAGUAAAGGUUCAUCUUGUUAUUUUCAUAGAUGGAGUUAUAGACCAACUAGAUCUGGCCUUACAGAUCUGAGCAAGUACACAAGAACUACCUGGGAAGCUUGUUAAAAAGACAUUCCUACACUCCAUUUCCAAAAACUGCUUCAACAGGUGGGACUCAGGAGUCUGAAAUCUUGUUAAGUAACCUAGGUCAUUCCGAUAUCUGUGGUCAGUUAAUUGCAACUUGAGAGACUGAUCUAGAGACUUGCUUAAGAUUUCAGCCUCAAACUAGAAGCCAGGAUGACUGGCUUAACACCACUGGCAGUAAUACUGAUUUCAUGGGGGUGGUGGUAAGCACAGUAAAGGAGAGUUCAUAGAGGAAACAAUGUUCUCUCAAAGGAAUGAAUUGCUUACUUUGAAAUUUGAUAAUAGUGACAGGCUAUGUAGCAUGUGGGUAGGAGAGAUUUCUUUUGCAAUUAAUGUCAUGUAGAUAAUACCCUGAGAGGUGGCCUUAGCCCUUGAUAUAGGGGCCUCUAGGGCAUAGAGAAAUUCCUGAAGCUGACGGCUAUAACAAAAUCUCACCUCUGGCUACAACGGGUAUCACAACAGGGGAGCAAGUGACCCCACUGGCCAAAGCCAAGGAAGUAUGUAUGGAAACUUAAAUCACUCCUGAGAGACAGCCUUUGUUAAGAAAGCGCAUGUACACAAACCGCACACUGUAGGAGCGAAUUUAUUUUUCAUACAACCUUAAGACCUCUUGACUUUCCUGUUGUCUCUGUCAGGUAAAGCAUUAGUUCAUCAGCUGAUCCAUCCAGAAUUUAGGGGCAGACAUGGAGAGGAAGCUGGAGGAAGUGAGGUAGGGAAAGCAUCAGUGAAAGGAAUUAUCUUGUUCUGUCUGCAUUAUUAUGUCCUGACUUACAUUUUUUCCCCUUUUAUGCAGUACGAAAUAACCAGGAAACAGCCAGAGUCGCCUAUCCACGAAUGGAUUAAGAGCUUUACCCCUGUUCGUGUAAUUUAGGAGCUUGUGGCAACUAGCUUUUUUGUUUUUUUCUAGUUGAGGAAAAAGUGCUGUGCUUCUUACCAUAUACAUUUCUAUCUUUUUUGUUGAACAGGACAGAUUCUUCCAUUUAUUGAGGAUACAGAAGGGAUUGCUAUCUUGCUGUCUUUCCCUAGAUAUCUUGCGCUUAUGGACAAAUAGUUUGAAUGCCAUAAGGCACUUGUAUCUGUGGUAAUGUGCAGGCACUUACUCUGCUCUUCACCUCAGUCUUUUUGUUCCAUCUCUAGGGCAAAGUUUAUCAUUGGUCUUUUGUAAACUUUGGACUCUGGGCCUUUUUACAGCCCACUCUUGUUAUGAGAAUCAAGGGUCGGGGGAGUGUAGUGUAUAGUUGGAACUAAUUCAGGCUUCUGUUUUCAGCACUGUGGUGGAUUAGAUACUCUGAAAAAUACUUUCAACAGAAACAAGAUGCUCGGUAAAAUGUAUUUAUAAAAAAAAAAUCCUUAUAAACACAUUGCUGAACAAGCACAAAAGUAAUGAAUCCAUAGAUCUUCAAAAUGAAGUGAAAACUGGAAUCCUAGGAAGUGAACAACUGCUAAAGCUAGCUUUACUGUUUUUGCCAAACUCAGCAGGCUGUAAACAUCUAUUUUAGUGACUACGCAGGAUAUGGGAAACGAAAUGAAACUAAAGUAAUUGCAGGUAAAGCUGGGAUCCCCUCAGUGUGAAGGUGCACAAGAAAUAAACUCUGUAGAGUAUAAUGGGGGCAGCAAAGAACUUACUUGUUUCAGCCCUCUUGCUGUUACCCCAAGACUGGGUUUGCCUCUUGGUGGGUGUUGAGCCAGAAGAACCAAGCCAAAGUUGGGGAGAAGGGAGGAUUUAUUGCAGCAAGUAAGGAGAACACCAAGGAUCUCUCCCAAAGCAGUGGCUCUAUGAACAGCAAAGUUGGGGAAUUUUUAAGCCCAAGGGUAUAUGCAUAUUCAUAAAGUGGCUUGAGCAGAGGAGAAUUCAGCAUCGAAUUGGGGCUAAGGUUGACAGAGCCCAACCUUCAGCUGAUUGAAGGCAAGAGGGUCAGAAAAGGUUAUUGUCAUCUUCCCUUAGGUUCCAGUGGUUGACUGAUCUUUACCAUUGAAACAGAACUGGGAGUCUUUACAACUGACUUAAUAUUAUCUUUGUUGUUGUUACUUCUCUUGCCUGAUAACAGUUCUUUUGUUCCCUUAAGAUCAUUAUCACUGAGACCUGUUCAAGGGCAAAUAUUGUGGCCAGGUAGAUCACAAAGUGGCUUGGGGCUAAAAUGGCUUCUCUUGUAAAAAGCUACAUUUGGUUCUUUUCCUCAGGGGACCCCCCUACCCUAUCUGCUUACAGUUGGUCAUACCUCCAGGUGUUUUCAGAAGCAAAUGUAAUCCCUCUAAAGCUUCAAUUCUCAUAUAUAAUAACUUCCAGGGCAAAUGAACAGCCUUGCUCAAAAAUUAUAAGAUGCACAAAGAAAUGACACAAGUGAUGGGGGGAGGGUGUAGCUCAGUGGUAGUGUGUGCUUAGCAUGCACAAGGUCCUGGGUUCAUUCCCCAGUACCUUCAUUAAAAUAAAUACUAAAACCUAAUUACCCACCCCCCAAAUAAAUUAAUUUGUAUGCCACUGAGGUUAAAAAAAAAAAGACCACAAGUGGUAAGGGGGAUAAAAGAGAUGCAGAAGCUGAUCCUUGAAUGCUUCAGGUGAUGACACUAUUACACAGACUAAUGAAAUAACUGUUGAUUAAUGAACUAAAACAAGCUUGAAAAUAAGGACAAUAACCCAGUAGAUUUGGGAGGGCAGGGGGGGAAGCCUUUCUGCAUUAGAAAUGAAAAAUACAAACUUGAAAUAAAAACUCAGAUUAAAUUGGAGAAAUUGAAGGGGUGCUAAUGACUUGGAAAAUCUCAAGAAAUCAUACAGAAUACAGUCCAAAGAAGGAGAAGGAAGAAUGGAAAACAGCAGAGAAGUUGAGAGACAACAGAGGACGUGAGAAUGAGAAGACCUAAUUGCUAUCUGGAGCUCCAGGAGGAGAUCAUAGGAAGAGGCAAUAUUCAAGGAGGUAAUACAGGAUGUCCUGAGGCAGAAGGAAAAUGAUCUCAAAUGGAAAGUGAAAUGCAAGAAGGAACACUGACCAAAGAUAGUGGUCAACGAUGUUGGUGAAAGUAAGUAAGCAAUAACUGUGAAAGCAAUAUGUAGUUUCUGGGAGGGAAAUACGGACUAGAAUUAAAAUACUGGACAACGAUAGCAUGUAACUUGAGGUGAUGAAAGCACUAAUUUUCAUGUUAUAUUCGGGAGGAAAGUAAAGAUAUUGAUUAACUUAAGACUUGUGAAACCAUACAUAUUAGCUAGAAUAACCACUAAAGAAUAGAGCAUGUCACCUUCAAACGUAGAGAUGGAAGAAGGCAAGAGGAGGGUAGGGGAUUAGAUCCGGUUCUACCUCUGACAGAACAAUCUAAGCUUGCAGGGUACCAGUUACAGGAGGUGGUGAGGAGCCUACUUCAAUAUUACGGUACUGGGACAUAGUAUGUGCAGAUGAAGUUAAGUGUGUGCAGGAAAAGGACAGCGAGUGACGUGUGAGAAGGGGUGAAGAGAACAGUUCCAAGACAAUUUCCAUUAGAGCAAAGUUGAAAUAAAAAUUAUUUGCUGGCUGGUGUGUGAGUUGGUCAAUCUGACUUAAAGACAGAAUAUUUUCAUAUCUUGUUGAGUGAAUUGUUCACUUCUCCGGCCCCUCAGGAUAUGGAAACUUAGUUUUAUGCCAGAGGAAGAAGAGUUAAAAGGUUGAAUCUAUGCCCUCAGGUUUCCAGGCCCCAGACCCCCCUGAACAAGAUCCAAACACUAUAUAUAGGAAGAUCAGAAGAGAAGCAAAUCAUCCAAAAAUGAAACAGAUCAAAGCAAACCCUACUCUCUUUGUUGCUAGUUAACUUUUCUUGGUACUGGGAAGUCAUGCAAUCUUUAAAAAAAAAAAAGAAAAAUUGUUCCUAAGCCA
This is a long non-coding RNA of Camelus dromedarius (Arabian camel), 4187 nucleotides long. RefSeq lists it as uncharacterized. NCBI's taxonomy places the organism in Eukaryota, Metazoa, Chordata, Mammalia, Artiodactyla, Camelidae. The record is from RefSeq and is a predicted model, not a curated record. The transcript has 2 exons.